This 575-nucleotide ribosomal RNA is filed under the name Serratia marcescens. RNAcentral's name for it is "partial 16S ribosomal RNA". Lineage: Bacteria; Pseudomonadati; Pseudomonadota; Gammaproteobacteria; Enterobacterales; Yersiniaceae. The record is from RNAcentral.
ACCGUAGCAUUCUGAUCUACGAUUACUAGCGAUUCCGACUUCAUGGAGUCGAGUUGCAGACUCCAAUCCGGACUAAAAACAAACUAUAUGAGGUCCGCUUGCUCUCGCGAGGUCGCUUCUCUUUGUAUACGCCAUUGUAGCACGUGUGUAGCCCUACUCGUAAGGGCCAUGAUGACUUGACGUCAUCCCCACCUUCCUCCAGUUUAUCACUGGCAGUCUCCUUUGAGUUCCCGGCCGAACCGCUGGCAACAAAGGAUAAGGGUUGCGCUCGUUGCGGGACUUAACCCAACAUUUCACAACACGAGCUGACGACAGCCAUGCAGCACCUGUCUCAGAGUUCCCGAAGGCACCAAUCCAUCUCUGGAAAGUUCUCUGGAUGUCAAGAGUAGGUAAGGUGCUUCGCGUUGCAUCGAAUAAAACCACAUGCUCCACCGCUUGUGCGGGCCCCCGUCAAUUCAUUUGAGUUUUAACCUUGCGGCCGUACUCCCCAGGCGGUCGAUUUAACGCGUUAGCUCCGGAAGCCACGCCUCAAGGGCACAACCUCCAAAUCGACAUCGUUUACAGCGUGGACUACC